CUCACAAUGGGUUCAGAGUUUGAUAAAAGUUUACAUCCCAUAUAUGAAAAUAAUCAUCUAUGAUCUUUUUGAGAAUUUCAUUGCUCACCCUGUGAUAUGACCAUAAAAUCAUCCUGUUAGAAACACACCUCACAGCCUUAUUAGCAUAAUCGGAACCUUUCUGAUUUUUAUAUUCACGAAAGAAUGAAAAAACCCGAGAAAGUCAAAACUUCGUAUAUCUCGGGAUUUUAACGAGACCAGUCUAACACUCGUGAAAAUCGAGAGAGGAGUUCAAAUGGAAAAAGUAAGUAAAAGUUUUUGUUUCUUAUAUUGGCAAGCUUUUAAAUUAUUUAAAGUUGCAGAACAAUUGUUUAUUAAUGUGAAGUCGAAGUUUGGGGUGAAUCGCCUUAUCUCGUUACAUUUUGUUCAGCAUGAAACAGUCUGACCAGCAAUCCUCGAUUUUGUCAACAAUCUAAAACGUGCUAAGGAGUAGUCAUUCGUCGAUUUACCUGCGGUUUCCAGAUGAUCUGAAGAUCGGGAUUAUAGAAAAUAUUGUCAAUUUGAUAUUGCUAAUGACCCAUUCAUGUCUGCUGAAGCCCAGAAGUUUCCAGACCAUGACAUUAAUGAAUAUUUCUUGAAUGGAAUGCAUGAGGAUUAGCAUGGAACCUUAAUCUGCCUUUUUAUCAACUCACACCAUCUUUUCAAGAUUUAUGGAGCCAACCACAGAAGAAUUUGUUCUAUACACAUCAUUCAUAACAUUCUUAUUUAUGUUGCAUAACUUUAAAUGUUACUGGAUGAAUUGUGUUCACAUAAUGAAUACCAGCAAACUUUUUAUCGAGUGCACUUAAUUUGUAUUUUUCCUACCCAUCCAUCUAACAUAUGUUUUUAUGUAACAUAUUCAUAUACAUGUAACAUUUUUGGAAACAGCUAUUUUUUUUUAAAUUGGAAUUUAGCCUUACCGGUACUAUUUUAAACAAGUUUUUUUUAAAGCGACUUGAACACGAUUUUAGAUCAAAAUUUUGUUUUCAAUUUUUUUAUGCAUAAAAUGAUUUACUUGCACAUUUUGAAUAAUUGACCAUAAUUUGAAUGUUAAAAGUCAGGUUAUAAGAGA
Long non-coding RNA from Magallana angulata, 1090 nucleotides. RefSeq lists it as uncharacterized. Lineage: Eukaryota; Metazoa; Mollusca; Bivalvia; Ostreida; Ostreidae. The record is from RefSeq and is a predicted model, not a curated record. The transcript is spliced from 3 exons.